RNAcentral lists this ribosomal RNA (460 nucleotides) under uncultured bacterium. RNAcentral describes it as "partial 16S ribosomal RNA". It matches the Rfam family "Bacterial small subunit ribosomal RNA", at positions 338 to 795 of the family's 1533-position model. The record is from RNAcentral.
CCUACGGGAGGCAGCAGUGAGGAAUAUUGGUCAAUGGGCGUAAGCCUGAACCAGCCAAGUCGCGUGAGGGAUGAAGGUUCUAUGGAUCGUAAACCUCUUUUAUAAGGGAAUAAAUUCCGGGACGUGUCCCUUUUUGUAUUUACCUUAUGAAUAAGGAUCGGCUAACUCCGUGCCAGCAGCCGCGGUAAUACGGGGGAUCCGAGCGUUAUCCGGAUUUAUUGGGUUUAAAGGGUGCGUAGGCGGCCUUUUAAGUCAGCGGUGAAAGUCUGUGGCUCAACCAUAGAAUUGCCGUUGAAACUGGUAGGCUUGAGUAUGUUUGAGGCAGGCGGAAUGCGUGGUGUAGCGGUGAAAUGCUUAGAGAUCACGCAGAACCCCGAUUGCGAAGGCAGCCUGCCAAACCAUGACUGACGCUGAUGCACGAAAGCGUGGGGAUCAAACAGGAUUAGAUACCCUAGUAGUC